Lates calcarifer (barramundi perch) is the source of this 2034-nucleotide long non-coding RNA. RefSeq lists it as uncharacterized. The record is from RefSeq and is a predicted model, not a curated record. The transcript is spliced from 2 exons. Lineage: Eukaryota; Metazoa; Chordata; Actinopteri; Centropomidae.
CUGCCAUAACAGGACAGCCCUCCCCUCCCUCCUCCUCCCUCCCUCCUCCCCUCCUGUCUCUCGCUCUUUUUUCUCCCCUCUCCUGUCUUUCCCUCCUCUCCCUCUCCCUCUUCUUCUUCACUCUUUUUUUCUUUUCUUCUUCUUUCUUCUUCUUCCUCACUUUUCCCUUAUCACCUCCUCCUCUUCCUCUCUUUUCCCCCCUCCCUCAUUCUCUCCCGUGUAUUUUGUUUUCCCCCCAUCUUCUCCUCUUCCUCUUCCUCUUUUCUUUUCCCCUCCUCUGUCUACUCCCACUCUUUUCCUCACUCGUUUUCUCCUCCUUGUCUCCUUCCCUCCAUGAAUAACAUUUAAAACUCUGAUUGAAGCUGAUAUAAUUAGUGUCUCUCUCUGUCUUUCGCUCCCUGUCUUCUAACACUGACAUGGAUUUCCAUUCCACAGAUUCCACACUAACGAGUGAAUAAAGCUCUUCAGGCAGUGACAGCAGACGGUUAUUUAUUCUGUGGUUACCUCUCACCAGCCGGGGUAUAAAACUGUGAGGUUGGACAGAGACACAGGGACAGAUGAAUGGAUGAUGAUGGGGUGUAUUCCCCUUCUUCAUCUCACGUUAUGUUGAUUUUCAUUUGUUAAAAAAACUCUGACAUUUCCCCUGAGAAGUGAAAUGAUCCUGAUGAUCAGCUGGUAGGUCAGACAGAAGCCACUACACAAAGCUCAGGAAUAUAAGAGUGAAACGAGGAGGCCGGGCUCACCGGAGGGAGGCCGGAGUAGAGCCGUCGAGCUUCCAUUCGAAAGUUGAGGAGGUUCAGGAGUCUGAUCCGGAUCCCUCCUGGGCUCCUUCCAUUGGAGGUUUCCAUGCUGGAGAGACCUGACCUGGACUGCCUUGUUUAACCUGCGGCCAUGACUCCAGAUAGAAACGGAUCAAAUAGACAGACAGACGUCUAAACUGAACCACGUGUGGGUGAGAGUUUCCUGCACGCUGCUUCUUCAUUUUGUCUCCAAAUGUAAAUACAGCAUCCCUCCUGUGUCGGACCUGGGACCGUAUAUAUGUGUUUUAUUCAUUUCUCCGAGUGUGUUUCCUCCACAUCGUGUAUCACAGGAUAAAAACCAAACCAUGUUGAGUGUGAGUGCGAUGAAGUCACUGCAGCUCAGUGUUUUCUCUUUGUUGUAGUUUGACUCAUAUUCUGCUGCAGUGACCCAGUUUCCCCUCAGGGCUCAUUAAAGUUUGAUUUAAGUUUCAUCUCACACACACACACACACACACACUUGUUCACUGCUCUCUAACUGCAGCAGCAGAGACCAUGCAUCACAGAGCUGUCAUCUGCAUCAGGACAAAACUCCAAACAGGAAGAAGUUCAGGAGGAAGUUUGUGAUGAUCACCUUUCACUGAAGUGGAGCUGUAACCACCUCCGGUCCAGAACUUCUCGUCCGAUUCGUUUGUGUCUCUGCAUGACAGAAGUUGAUUUAAUGGGGGAAAUUAACGAGAUGUCACAACCCUCUGCUGUUACGUUCCACACCUUCAUCCUGCUGCAGUCAGUUUGUUUCCUCCUUCCAGAGUCUUUCAAACACUUUCAAAUUUCUGUGUAAUUUGGUGAAAGUUCAGCUGAGUUACGCCACAGGGCCAGAAACAUCAUGCAGGUCCAGGAAGUGUUGAGAGUCUUUGUGAGCUCUUAUCGUUUGAAUGAGGAGUUCUGACUCUGUGUUUUGCCUCAGCUGUGAUCAGUGUCUCUGACUUUCAGGACUCGUGACUUGGACUUUGGAGUUGGAGACUCAGACUCAGACUUUUUUAGUUUGGUCGUAAUAAUUUGUUAUAAGAAGUUGACAGAUAUAUAAACACUGAUCAUUUAUUGUUGCUGUGUUUUUCUUUGUCUUUCACAUAAAUUUGACAUUUUCUAUAAAUGAAAAAUAACUACAGUACAAAUACAACAUACACUAAAAAAACUACCAAGAAUUCUGUAUGCUAAUGUGCUUAUUGCCAUAAUAUAAGCUCUGCGUCAUUUUGCCAUAAAGCUGCAGUGUAAUAAAGUAUCAUAAACACCCUCA